This is a non-coding RNA of Lolium perenne, 1372 nucleotides long. Lineage: Eukaryota; Viridiplantae; Streptophyta; Magnoliopsida; Poales; Poaceae. The record is from RefSeq and is a predicted model, not a curated record.
UAUUUCCACUAUUUAGUUCUGCAGCUAUAUGAGUACUAGUACUAAUAAAAAAGAAAGAUAAUUUUGUUUCUUCUAUGGGUGAUACAGCUAAAGUCAGGAGAUUGUAUGACAUUGCAAAUGUGUUGUCUUCACUGAAGCUCAUUCCGAAGUCAGACACAAGUAUAAUAACGGCAGGGAAGCCGCCAUUCCAGUGGUUUGGCAUGGGGGAGAAACAAAUAGCAUAAAAUAUUUUGUGAAGCUGUUCCUCAUCAUGGAGAGCUCCUCCUCGGAGAAGGCUGACUCGAUGUGUGUUGUUCCUCCAACCACGGCACCGAGCAUAUCCUCGCCAUUAAGCUGGACAAGAACUCCAUGAAGGUCACCCUCGAGCUUGUCAUGCAGGAGGUGAGGAAGUACUUCAGGCCUUCAAAGCAAACUCGUGUGUUUGCUAGGUUUCUUGGUGUUUUUAGUAGAGUUCCUUGUUUUCUAUUUACUAUUUUGUGAUGCUAGCAGAUCAAAUGCGACAAAGUUCAUAGUUUAUGUUUUGGGACUUUGCUCUCCCUUCACUUGUCAUGCUACAGAGUACAUACUAACACAUUGCAUAGGUUCUUUUCAGUGGAGGAAGUUAUCUCACUUCCUAUAUUUAAAACUAAACAAAACCAUUGCUCAAGGUACCUGUGAACUCAAAUGUCAUACUAAUGCGUACAUUCUGGUUACCGUUAACCUAUUUUUUAGUUGUUUUUGUGACCUUGCUAUAGACCAAAAAAUUACAUAGUUUCACUUCAGUGAAGAAAGUUAAAAGGAAAAUUACAGUCUGUGCAUGAAAUUUAGAUGCAAACAUAAACUCAUCAGUAAGUGAAUUAUGUAUUUACUAAUGGAUGGCAGUGUUUGCAGUAUAGAGGGAACAUUUCAGGGAUUUGUGUGAUGGUUAUGAGAUUUGCAAAAGUUAGCUAGACUUGAAACUUUGUACUUCAAGGAGGAUGGAGGUCGAGCUAGAGGACUACCCAGGCUGUGGUGCCAACUGUCGGCACUUGCCUCAGUGUCAGAUGAGGAUGAACUGAACAUGGCACAAAGUUGCGUAGGGAAGGAGGGAAUGAAGAGAAUGGAGUUCAAUAGAAAUGAUAGUUUAAGGAAGUAGAUAUCAGGAAGCAUCAAUGUAAAGAAGUGUGUUCGAUCCAAUACAUGAUAGAACAUAUAGAUGUUUAUUUUAUUUAUUGAGGUUAUAGUUGACAAAUCAUCAUGAUUACAUUUUUAGUUUUGCCUUGCUUUGGUAGCGAGUAGUGAACAAUAUAUUGCCUUGCUUUGGUGAAUUGAAAAUGAGACACACACACGACCUUUUAGUUUUUGUCCUUUGUGUGUUCAUGAAGAAGAAGAUUUGUACCAUGCUUUAAUACGU